CUGUGAUAUCGUCUUAGUCAGCACCUGCUGAGCUCACUGCACGCCUCAGCACUGUACUGUACUCAGCGCUAGAGCACCCACUGCACACGCCUCAUUAGGUACCGCUUGAAGGUCCUACUCGUUAUAUAGGGAGCCCGGUACUUAGUCCGUCAUUCAUUAACGUACACUCAUUCACUGAGCCCAUCACACUACUGAAGAUGGCCGACUAUUUUCUGUACAGAGUCAAACUUCCCGAGUUUACUCAUUCGUAACGUUAUGAAAACCGUGCGGUUGAUUUUCGACCCAUCGCCACCAGAAGAAGAAUCCUACGUCUUCCGGCUGAGUUAAUCUUCGUAUUUUGGAUGGAGGCCUUCUUCUACACUACGAGAGGUGAACUGGAUCUUCAAUUAUGGAUGAACUUCUCAGAACGACCCCUCUAUCGACAGCUCGAUCUCACCCCCUGUCUUCUCCACGAUCUCAUCUUCAUUACUUCCCAACGUUAGCUGAAUGAUCAGGUUUAAGCUGCUUGUGCAUCAAACUCCAAACAGAGAUCAGAGUUCCUUCAAUGAGUAGCAAUCAAACUAGUUGGGGUUUGUGUAUGCAUCAAUGUAAAAAAUCAAAUGUUAUAUUAAAUUUUGUUAUUUUUAGAUGAAA
Molecule: long non-coding RNA, 633 nt
Organism: Homalodisca vitripennis (glassy-winged sharpshooter)
Lineage: Eukaryota; Metazoa; Arthropoda; Insecta; Hemiptera; Cicadellidae
Exons: 2
Source: RefSeq, a predicted model, not a curated record